This 449-nucleotide ribosomal RNA is filed under the name uncultured organism. RNAcentral's name for it is "partial 16S ribosomal RNA". It matches the Rfam family "Bacterial small subunit ribosomal RNA", at positions 332 to 797 of the family's 1533-position model. The record is from RNAcentral.
UACACUCCUACGGGAGGCAGCAGUGGGGAAUAUUGGACAAUGGGCGCAAGCCUGAUCCAGCCAUGCCGCGUGAGUGAUGAAGGCCCUAGGGUUGUAAAGCUCUUUCACCGGUGAAGAUAAUGACGGUAACCGGAGAAGAAGCCCCGGCUAACUUCGUGCCAGCAGCCGCGGUAAUACGAAGGGGGCUAGCGUUGUUCGGAUUUACUGGGCGUAAAGCGCACGUAGGCGGACUAUUAAGUCAGGGGUGAAAUCCCGGGGCUCAACCCCGGAACUGCCUUUGAUACUGGUAGUCUUGAGUGCGAGAGAGGUGAGUGGAAUUCCGAGUGUAGAGGUGAAAUUCGUAGAUAUUCGGAGGAACACCAGUGGCGAAGGCGGCUCACUGGCUCGAUACUGACGCUGAGGUGCGAAAGCGUGGGGAGCAAACAGGAUUAGAUACCCCAGUAGUCCCA